Molecule: long non-coding RNA, 2188 nt
Organism: Dreissena polymorpha
Lineage: Eukaryota; Metazoa; Mollusca; Bivalvia; Myida; Dreissenidae
Exons: 2
Source: RefSeq, a predicted model, not a curated record
UUUAAUGAAACUGAGUAUUAUAAAAAAACAAAAAAACAAAUAAAGAGUUUUAUGAAAAUUGUCAAAACUUAUUAUUGUUACUUUGUGUUGUUAGAUCAUAGAUGUGUAUGCUCACAAUUGUUAAACUUUGUUUUUGGACACAAUAGUUUAUUAUGCGUAUCCUCUUUAAUAAGUGAGUAACUUAAUCAAGAUUUAUUGAUCACUGUAUAUAUUCUGUAGGUAUAUUUUGCCAUUUAUACAUAAAGCAACUGUAGAACAAUUGUAUUUUAAAUGUAAAUUAUUCUUGUAUUGUUGCCAUUUGUAUAAUAUAAACUAACUGUUUACCUUAGUUUGUAAAAACCUUUGUAAAAAAACAUUUCCUGUGUGAAUGCUCAUAUAUAUAUUAAACUGUUAAAAUAAUGCACAGUACCAGAAAAAAAUAGUCAAUUACACAGUAAGGGAAAGUGUUGUCAUAUGCUAACAAUUGUAUAAAAUUGCAAUUGUCUCUAUUUGUAAUAAUAGAGAGCAAUAUUAUUUGCUUAAAAAAUAAAGAUGUCUGCUUUGUAAAUUAAUAAUUGUGUUUACAUCUCAACAUAACACGUAAAUACAUUAAAGUCUAAAAGGAUUUUUUGGAAUAAACACUUAAAUAAAUAUAUGUGCGUGUAUACGCUGAUAAAAAAAAUUUACAUUUCAUUUAGUUUUGUAACAGCGCAUUUGACCUUUCACGUUGACCAUCCCACACUUGCUGUCAGUGCAGUGCCUUCAUUAGGGUCAUUUUUAUGCUCCUGGUAGGGUGGCAUAUAGCAGUUGAACUGUCCGUCAGUAUGUCAGUCUGUCCUUUUGUCCGAAAAAAACUUAAACAUUGGCCAUAACUUUUUGAAUAUUGAAGAUAGCAACUUGAUAUUUGGCAUGCAUGUGCAUCUCAUGAAGCUGCACAUAUUGAGUGGUGAAAGGUGAUGGUCAAGGUCAUCCUUCAAAGUCAAAUGUCAAAUUUAUUGCGUCUGUCCGUCCGUCCAAAACUUUAACAUUGGCCAUAACUUGUUCAAUAUUGAAGAUAGCAACUUGAUAUUUGGCAGCCAUGUGUAUCUCAUGGAGCUACACCUUUUGAGUGGUAAAAGGUCAAGGUCAUCCUUCAAGGUCAAAGGUCAAAAAAAUAAUCCAAAGCGGCGUUCUCAUGAAGCUGCACAUUGUGAGUGGUGUGAGUUCAAGGUCAAGGCCAACCGUCAAGGUCAUCCUUCAAGGUCAAAAGUAAAAAAAAAUUCAAAGCGGCGUCCUCAUGAAGCUGCACAUUUUGAGUGGUGGACGUUCAAGGUCAAGGUCAUCCUUCAAUGUCAAAGGUAAAAAAAAAAUCAAAGCGGCGCAAUAGGGGGCAUACUGUGUUUCUGACGAACACAUCUCUUGUUUGUAAAUAUCCCACUGUUUAAGUUCAGCAAAUGUUUUAAGACCAGAUUUCCUUAAACUUGGGGGUGUUAUUAUUUUACUUUUAUUGAAUGCAUGAAACAUGUGUGUUCCGUUGUUGAAUAGCUAAACAUAGCUUGAUGUGUGUAGAUUGUGUGACAAAUGUUGAUCAAAUUGUUACAUAGAAAAAAACACAAUCUUAGUUAACUUGUAUGUGUUAAUUACCAAACACAAAUAUAAGUAUUUUGUAACAAUAUAAGUAUUGUCUUUAUUUGAAAUACAGAAUGAAAUGCAAUUUUAAAAUCAUGUCUUUAUAUGUUCAUCUUCUCCAAAUAAGCAUUUUGAAAAAGCAAAUAUAAUAUCUCUAUGGAAAGUAUCUGUAGGCCCCAUGCAAUCGAUUGUGUACCUCAUAUUGACCAGGGUCUUUCUAAAUUAUUUCAGGAUUGUAUAUCCCUGUCUGAAUUGUGUAAAUAGCUUCAACAUCGUGAGAUAACUGUUAAGAGGAUUUCAAUAUUAAAAGUUAAAAUAGUAUCUUAACUGUAACCGUACAUAUGUAACCGUACAUCUGUUGCAUUUAUUUUAACAUGUUUAUAUGUUGUGGCUCACUGAGUUUUAUAUUGUUUAUAAUCUUGCAUAUUCAAUUGUGUUUUAUAAGACAAACAUCAUUAUACUGAUUAUGUUGUUUUUGUCCAACAUUUCUAUAUAUACAAGUUGUAUGUAAAUAAUUAAAUAUGUUUAUGUUGAUGAUAUGUAUUUCCCGAUCUAAGUUUGAUGUUGAACUCUCAAUAAACGACCUGUUUUGCCAAUUAAA